RNAcentral lists this ribosomal RNA (441 nucleotides) under uncultured bacterium. Its description in RNAcentral is "partial 16S ribosomal RNA". It matches the Rfam family "Bacterial small subunit ribosomal RNA", at positions 338 to 795 of the family's 1533-position model. The record is from RNAcentral.
CCUACGGGCGGCAGCAGUGGGGGAUAUUGCACAAUGGGGGGAACCCUGAUGCAGCGACGCCGCGUGGGUGAAGGAGUGCUUCGGCAUGUAAAGCCCUAUCGGCAGGGAAGAAGCAAGACGGUACCUGACUAAGAAGCCCCGGCUAACUACGUGCCAGCAGCCGCGGUAAUACGUAGGGGGCGAGCGUUAAUCGGAAUUACUGGGCGUAAAGCGCUCGUAGGCGGUAUGUCAAGUCAAGGGUGAAAUCCCCGCGCUCAACGUGGGAACUGCCUUUGAAACUGGCAAACUGGAGUGUGUGAGAGGAUAGUGGAAUUCGUGGUGUAGCGGUGAAAUGCGUAGAUAUUAGGAGGAACACCAGUUGCGAAGGCGGAUUGCUGGACAGUAACUGACGCUGAGGCGCGAAAGCGUGGGGAGCAAACAGGAUUAGAUACCCUUGUAGUC